RNAcentral lists this small nuclear RNA (103 nucleotides) under Nelumbo nucifera (sacred lotus). The record is from RNAcentral. Lineage: Eukaryota; Viridiplantae; Streptophyta; Magnoliopsida; Proteales; Nelumbonaceae.
GUCUCUUCGGAGACAUCCGAUAAAAUUGGAACGAUACAGAGAGAUUAGCAUUGGCCCCUGUGCAAGGAUGACAUAGACAAAUCAAGAAAAGAAAAGGAAUGGA